AUUUAAAUAGCUUAUAUUGAGAGUAUAACAUUGAAGAUGUUAGGGAAGUUUUAAACUUUUAAAUA
This 65-nucleotide transfer RNA is filed under the name Aphthona melancholica. Its description in RNAcentral is "tRNA-Phe". The record is from RNAcentral. Lineage: Eukaryota; Metazoa; Arthropoda; Insecta; Coleoptera; Chrysomelidae.